This is a long non-coding RNA of Eriocheir sinensis (Chinese mitten crab), 1782 nucleotides long. RefSeq lists it as uncharacterized. Lineage: Eukaryota; Metazoa; Arthropoda; Malacostraca; Decapoda; Varunidae. The record is from RefSeq and is a predicted model, not a curated record. The transcript is spliced from 4 exons.
AGAAAGGGGAAAGGAAGGAAGGAAGGAAAGCAAGAAAAGAGAAAGGAAGGAAGGAAGGAAGGAAAGCAAGAAAGAGAGAAAGGAGAAAGGAAGGAAAGCAAGAAAUAGAAAAGUGAAAGAAAGAAAGGAAGGAAGGAAAGCAAGAAAGAGAGAAAGGAAGGAAGGAAGGAAAGAAAGAGAGAAAGGGGAAAGGAAGGCAGGAAGGAAAGAGAGAAAGGAGAAAGGAAGGAAGGAAAGAAAAAGAAAGAAAGAAAGGGAGAAGGGAAGAAAGGAGGACACAGAGAUUCACUUUGUUUGUGUCUGCUGAAGCUGUUUUUUUAUUUUUUAUUAUUUUUUAUUUUUUACAUAGAGAGGUCAGGGAGGGAGUAUUGAGACCCUUUGUAACAUAAGGCUAAUACUGAUUCCUGCUCUUUGAUAGGCUAGUGACAUAAUUUACUAGUUUGUGUACAUGUGUCCGUGUCGAAGCCUUUGUUUUUUUUACAUAGAGAGGUGAGGAGGGGAGGAAUGAGACCCUUUGUAAAAUAAGAUGAUUGCUGGUUCCUGUUCUUUGAUAGGCUAAUGACACUGUUUACUUGCUAUAGAUGUUUCUGUACUAAAGUCUUUAUUUUCAUUUUUAUUCCUUAUGAGACGAGGAAGGAAAGGUAGCCAGCUCCAUUUGUUUAUUAAUAAGAAAACUACUAAUUCCUGAUGUUCGACAGACUAGUGACAUUGUUUAGUAGUUUGUUUACGAGGUUAUGUGCUGGGUGCCUCUGUCUUAUUAUUUUUUACAUGAGACGAGAAAGGAAAAGUUGUAACGACCCUUUGUAACAUAAGAAAACUACCAAUUCCUGCUGUUCAAUAGACUAGUAAUGAUAUUGUUACUAGUUUGUUUACAAGGUUAUGUGCUGGCGCCUCUUGUCUUAUUUUUUUUUACAUGAGACGAGAAAGGAAAAGUUGUAACGACCCUUUGUAACAUAAGAAAACUACCGAUUCCUGCUGUUCAAUAGACUAGUAAUGAUAUUGUUUACUAGUUUGUUUACAAGGUUAUGUGCUGGUGUCUGUCUUAUUUUUUUUUACUUGAGAUGAGAAAGGAAAAGCUGUAACGACCCUUUGUAACAUAAGAAGAACUACUAAUUCCUGAUGUUCGACAGACUGGUGACAUUGUUUACUAGUGUGUUUACAAGGUUAUGUGCUGGCGCCUCUGUCUUAUUUUUUUUUUACAUGAGAGGAGGAAGGAGAAGUAGUUGUCGAUAGCUUUGUAAUAUUAGAAAAACUACUGAUUCCUGCUCUUUGAUAGACUAGUGACAUUGUUUACUAGCUUGUUUAUAUUUGUCUGUGCUGAAGCCUGUAUUGUUUUUUGUUUGCAUAAGAGAGGAAGGGAAGAUAGUCCCAAUCCUUUGUAUAAUUAAUAAUAAGAAAACUACCGAUUCCUGCUCUAUGAUCGACUAGUGACAUUGUUUACUAGCUCAUCUAUAUUUGUCUGUGCUGAAGCCUCUAUUGUUUUUUGUUUACAUAAGAGAGGAAGGGAAGGUAGUCACAAUCCUUUGUAUAAUAAGAAAACUACAAAUUCCUGCUCUUUGAUAGACUAGUGACACAAUUUACGAGCUCAUUUAUAUUUGUCUGUGCUGAAGCCUCUAUUGUUUUUUGUUUACAUGUAGGAGGAAGGGAAGGUAGUCACAAUCCUUUGUAUAAUAAGAAAACUACAAAUUUCUGCUCUUUGAUAGACUAGUGACAUUGUUUACUAGCUCGUUUAUAUUUUUCCAUGCUGAAGCCUGUACUGUUUUUUGUUUACAUAAGAGAGGA